RNAcentral lists this long non-coding RNA (347 nucleotides) under Lathyrus oleraceus (garden pea). RNAcentral's name for it is "Pisum sativum (pea) long non-coding RNA (PSAT_LNC036331)". Lineage: Eukaryota; Viridiplantae; Streptophyta; Magnoliopsida; Fabales; Fabaceae. The record is from RNAcentral.
UGGAUUUGCAAACCAAUGUUAGGGUUUGCUUGAGCUGAAAGUGUGUGAGUCAGAAUGAACCUUUCAGAGUUGCCUGGAGGUUGCUGCAGAUUAAUUCUCACUCUCUCUGUCUAGGUUUCUCUCCAGGUUUUGUCCAGGAUUUUGUUUCAAUGAAAACUCUAGUAUUUAUAGCCUAAUAUUGGUAGCUUAGUGGGCUUUUGAGAGAGGUCCAAGUCUGAGAUUUUUCUUUUAUUUAUUUAUUUAUUUAUUUAAUUUUUUUUUUCUUUUCGUUUUUCGUUUUUCGUUUUUUUUUUAAAACACGUGGGCUUCGCCUAGCGAGCAUGACAGCUCAUGAACAAACCUUUGCU